CCUACGGGUGGCAGCAGUGGGGAAUAUUGGACAAUGGGGGGGAACCCUGAUCCAGCCAUGCCGCGUGUGUGAAGAAGGCCCUCGGGUUGUAAAGCACUUUCAGUGAGGAAGAACGCCUGGUGGUUAAUACCCAUCAGGAAAGACAUCACUCACAGAAGAAGCACCGGCUAACUCCGUGCCAGCAGCCGCGGUAAUACGGAGGGUGCGAGCGUUAAUCGGAAUUACUGGGCGUAAAGCGCGCGUAGGUGGCUUGAUAAGCCGGUUGUGAAAGCCCCGGGCUCAACCUGGGAACGGCAUCCGGAACUGUCAAGCUAGAGUGCAGGAGAGGAAGGUAGAAUUCCCGGUGUAGCGGUGAAAUGCGUAGAGAUCGGGAGGAAUACCAGUGGCGAAGGCGGCCUUCUGGACUGACACUGACACUGAGGUGCGAAAGCGUGGGUAGCAAACAGGAUUAGAUACCCCUGUAGUC
This 466-nucleotide ribosomal RNA is filed under the name Vreelandella stevensii. Its description in RNAcentral is "partial 16S ribosomal RNA". It matches the Rfam family "Bacterial small subunit ribosomal RNA", at positions 338 to 795 of the family's 1533-position model. Lineage: Bacteria; Pseudomonadati; Pseudomonadota; Gammaproteobacteria; Oceanospirillales; Halomonadaceae. The record is from RNAcentral.